GGCAGUGCUCGCGGCGGCCCCAGACCCUGAAGCGCCCGGGGCUUCGGGUGGCUUCGGCCGGGGGGCUCGGGCUUGGGCUCGGCGCGGCGUGGCGCGGCGGCCUGGCUGGUGGCGGGUUCUGAGCAGUCGAAGCCCGCCGGCCAGGCGUCACACACACUGAGGUCGAAGCUGGCCGGCUGACAGACUCGGCGAUCCUCAGGCCCCCGGAGCCCCUGCGCGGAGCGGGCGGGACGCAAACUUCCGGGGGGCCCUCUGCCCGCAGGUCCCUGAGCGAGCGGUGCCGCCCACCAUGGACCCAGACCCUCAGGCGGGCGUACAGGUGGGCAUGCGUGUGGUGCGCGGCGUGGACUGGAAGUGGGGCCAGCAGGACGGCGGCGAGGGCGGCGUGGGCACGGUGGUGGAGCUCGGCCGCCACGGCAGCCCCUCCACCCCCGACCGCACGGUGGUCGUGCAGUGGGACCACGGCACCCGCACCAACUACCGCGCCGGCUACCAGGGCGCGCACGACCUGCUGCUCUACGACAACGCCCAGAUCGGCGUCCGCCACCCCAACAUCAUCUGCGACUGCUGCAGGAAGCACGGGCUGCGGGGCAUGCGCUGGAAGUGCCGCGUCUGCUUCGACUACGACCUGUGCACGCAGUGCUACAUGCACAACAAACACGACCUGGCGCACGCCUUCGAGCGCUAUGAGACGGCCCACUCGCGCCCGGUCACGCUGAGUCCACGCCAGGGCCUCCCGAGGAUCCCGUUAAGGGGCAUCUUCCAGGGGGCGAAGGUGGUUCGGGGCCCCGACUGGGAGUGGGGGUCGCAGGACGGAGGGGAAGGGAAGCCUGGCCGAGUGGUGGACAUCCGUGGCUGGGACGUGGAGACGGGCCGGAGCGUGGCCAGCGUGACGUGGGCCGACGGCACCACCAACGUGUACCGUGUGGGCCACAAGGGCAAGGUGGACCUCAAGUGUGUGGGCGAGGCGGCUGGCGGCUUCUACUACAGGGAGCAUCUCCCGAGGCUUGGCAAGCCAGCGGAGUUGCAGCGCAGGGUGAGUGCGGACGGCCAGCCCUUCCAGCCUGGGGACAAGGUUAAGUGCCUGCUGGACACGGACAUCUUGAGGGAGAUGCAGGAAGGUCACGGUGGAUGGAACCCCAGGAUGGCAGAGUUUAUCGGACAGCCGGGCACCGUGCACCGCAUCACAGACCGUGGGGACGUGCGUGUGCAGUUCAGCCACAAGAUCCGCUGGACCUUCCACCCGGGGGCUCUCACCAAGCACAACUCCUUCUGGGUGGGGGACGUGGUGCGGGUCAUCGACGACCUUGACACGGUGAAGCGGCUGCAGGCUGGGCACGGCGAGUGGACCGAUGACAUGGCCCCGGCUCUGGGCCGCGUUGGGAAAGUGGUGAAGGUUUUUGGAGACGGGAACCUGCGUGUGGCGGUCAGUGGGCAGCUGUGGACCUUCAGCCCCUCCUGCCUGGUGGCCUACCGACCCGAGGAAGAUGCCAACCUGGAUGUGGCUGAGCGCGCCAGAGAGAACAAAAGCUCCCUGAGCAUCAUCCUGGACAAGCUUCGAGCCCAGAAGAGUGACCUGGAGCACCCAGGGAGGCUGGUGGUGGAGGUGGCCCUAGGCAACAUGGCCCGGGCCCUGGACCUGCUGCGGCGGCACCCGGAGCAGGUGGACACCAAGAACCAGGGCAGGACCGCCCUGCAGGUGGCUGCCUACCUCGGCCAGGUGGAGCUGGUGCGGCUGUUGCUGCAGGCGCGGGCAGGCGUGGACCUGGCGGAUGACGAGGGCAACACGGCACUACACUACGCAGCCCUGGGGAACCAGCCCGAGGCCGCCCGGGUGCUUCUGAGCUCGGGUUGCGCCGCCAACGCCCUUAACAGCGCUCGGAGUUCCGCGCUGCAUGUGGCCGUGCAGAGGGGGUUCCUGGAGGUGGUUCGGGUUCUCUGUGAGCGCGGCUGUGACGUCAACCUCCCCGAUGCUCACGCUGACACACCCCUGCACUGCGCCAUCUCGGCGGGCACUGGUGCCACUGGCAUUGUGGAGGUCCUCACUGAGGUUCCCGGCAUUGACGUUACUGCCACCAACAGCCAAGGCUUCACCCUGCUGCACCACGCGUCCCUGAAGGGCCACACACUGGCCGUCAGGAGGAUUCUGGCCCGGGCCCGGCAGCUGGUGGAUGCCCAGAAGGAGGACGGAUUCACGGCCUUGCACCUGGCCGCUCUCAACAACCACUGGGAAGUGGCCCAGGUUCUCAUCCGAGAGGGCCGCUGUGAUGUGAACGUCCGCAACCGUAAGCUCCAGUCCCCGCUGCACCUGGCCGUGCAGCAGGCCCACGUGGGGCUGGUGCCGCUGCUGGUGGACUCUGGCUGUAGCGUCAACGCCGAGGAUGAGGAGGGGGACACGGCCCUGCAUGUGGCACUGCAGCGUCACCAACUGCUUCCCAUGGCAGCUGAUGGGGCCGGGGGGGACCCGAGGCCCUUGCAGCUGCUGUCGCGGGUGAGGAAGUGUGACUCUGGGUGCCAGAGAGGUGGGCACCUGGCCGAAGUCUCCAGGACUGGCCUGACCUCUGCCCACCUCCACCUUUGGGGCUGGCAGGCCUUCUCAGGAUGGGGUGGCUCUGGCCACGGUGGUCUGCAGGAGGCAUCUUCUAUGACCCCAGCCACCACCCUGUGGCCAGUGUGCCUGGAAGAGAGGGCGGGGCCAGAUGGGUACAGAGUGUGGUGUGUGUGGGGCUGGUGUCAGAACUCGGUCCCUCCCCCACCCCACCUCAGGCAGGGAGCACGUGCCCAGGUCUUGGCAGCUCGGAUUCCCCCCCACACCCCCGCUCACCAGUGUCUGUCCUGCCACCCAGCUACAGGCCUCGGGCCUUCCGGGCAGCGCAGAGCUGACGGCAGGCGCAGCGGUGGCCUGCUUCUUGGCGCUGGAGGGCGCCGACCUGAGCUACUCCAACCACCGGGGCCGGAGCCCGCUGGACCUGGCCACCGAGGGCCGCUUGCUCAAAGCCCUGCAGGGCUGUGCCCAGCGCUUCCGGUGAGCCCAGCGGGGCAGGGUGGGGGUCGACCCAAUGCCCCGGGCCCCUUCAAGCCUUCUCCUCCCACCGCAGGGAGCGCCAGGCUGGCGGCGGCACGGCCCAGGGCCCAAGGCUGGUGCUCAGCGCCCCCAACGCGGUGACCAACGUGCACGUGGCCGCGCCGUCGGGGCCCGAGGCCGCGGAGUGCCUGGUGUGCUCUGAGCUGGCGCUGCUGGUGCUGUUCUCGCCGUGCCAGCACCGCACCGUGUGCGAGGAGUGUGCGCGCAGGAUGAAGAAGUGCAUCAGAUGCCAGGUGGUCAUCGGCAAGAAGCUGCGUCCAG
RNA transcript from Phacochoerus africanus (Common warthog), 3346 nucleotides. It is a transcript of the gene named MIB E3 ubiquitin protein ligase 2, with no coding region annotated. The transcript has 16 exons. The record is from RefSeq and is a predicted model, not a curated record. Lineage: Eukaryota; Metazoa; Chordata; Mammalia; Artiodactyla; Suidae.